Molecule: long non-coding RNA, 363 nt
Organism: Magnolia sinica
Lineage: Eukaryota; Viridiplantae; Streptophyta; Magnoliopsida; Magnoliales; Magnoliaceae
Exons: 2
Source: RefSeq, a predicted model, not a curated record
CUCAUUAAUACGGGACCUGAGUUCACGUGGUCCUUACAUAUCUUUGUGAAACUGAAUUCCUGAGUAUCUGCUUGAUUUGACCCGCUUAAGGAAUUACCGCAUUCUCUUAUCGAGAAGUGCUCCACGGGAAUACCUAAAAAAAGGCGCUUCCCCAACAGAUUGAAGAGAAAAUAUGGUUCUGCUCUUGAAAGAAGAUGAAGAGAAGGCGAGAAGAUGAAGGGCCGUCAUUCCACGGUUGUCCCUACUGAAUGCCAUCUCUGGACACAACUCCAAGAUCUCCAACGCUACAUCUGCUAGAUUAUCCGAAAGCGUCAACAAAUUGAUGAGAAAUAUCAUUAAUUAGGUUUUAAUUUAGUUUUUUUU